ACGAACGCUGGCGGCGUGCCUAAUACAUGCAAGUAGAACGCUGAAGAGAGGUGCUUGCUCUUCUUGGAUGAGUUGCGAACGGGUGAGUAACGCUUAGGUAACCUGCCUUGUAGCUGGGGAUAACUAUUGUAAACGUUAGCUAAUACUGCAUAACACUGGAUGUCACUUGUCAUUUAUUUGAAAGGGUCAAUUUCUCCACUACAAGAUGGACCUGCGUUGUAUUAGCUAGUAGGUGAGGUAAUGGCUCACCUAGGUGACGAUGCAUCUCCGACAUGAGAGGGCGAAUAGCCACACUGGGACUGAGACACGGACCAGAAUGAUUGGGGAAGCAGCAGUAGGGAGUCUUAGGGAAUGGGGGAAGCACAAACCAAGAAGGGCCGCGUGAGUGAAGAAGGUUAUCGAGUCGUAAAGCAAUGUUGUAAGUAAAGAACGGGGGUGAGAGUGGAAAGAUCAGAGUGUGACGGUAGCUUACCAAGAAGAGACGGCUAACUACGUG
RNAcentral lists this ribosomal RNA (496 nucleotides) under uncultured bacterium. RNAcentral describes it as "partial 16S ribosomal RNA". It matches the Rfam family "Bacterial small subunit ribosomal RNA", at positions 30 to 507 of the family's 1533-position model. The record is from RNAcentral.